Molecule: ribosomal RNA, 519 nt
Filed under: Triticum aestivum (bread wheat)
Lineage: Eukaryota; Viridiplantae; Streptophyta; Magnoliopsida; Poales; Poaceae
Description: partial small subunit ribosomal RNA
Source: RNAcentral
AUGUUGCAUCGGUCUCAUUUGUUUGCUAGACUUACUAAUGGCGAUGCUCCUGCUUGCAACUACGCGGUGAAUGGGCAUCAGUACACAAAUGGCUACUAUCUUGCUGAUGGUAUUUACCAUUCUUGGUCUACAUUUGUCAAGUUCAUCAAGAAACCCAAAACUAGGAAGGAAAUUGAAUUUGUAAAGGUACAAGAGGCCGAGCGAAAAGAUAUUGAAAGAGCCUUUGGGUUUUUGCAAGCUAGGUUUGCCAUUGUUUGUGGUCCUGAUCGUUUUUGGGACAAGCGAACCCUGAAGAACAUCAUGACAUGUUGUGUGAUUCUUCACAACAUGACCAUCGAAGAUGAGAGGGAUAUGAUCUUGGAGUUCUUCUAUGACAAUGUCGGUAGCCGUGUGAAGCCAUCCAGAAACCCUGACCGCAUACAAGCAUUUCCUCAGACAUACCGGGAAAUUGAAGACUCAAACACCCACCACCAGCUUCUGGGCGAUCUCAUUGAGCACCAUUGGCAAAGGCAUGGGUAG